RNAcentral lists this ribosomal RNA (821 nucleotides) under Guignardia sp. EAH2.13. RNAcentral describes it as "eukaryotic LSU rRNA". It matches the Rfam family "Eukaryotic large subunit ribosomal RNA", at positions 91 to 928 of the family's 3401-position model. The record is from RNAcentral. Lineage: Eukaryota; Fungi; Ascomycota; Dothideomycetes; Botryosphaeriales; Phyllostictaceae.
GAGUGAAGCGGCAAUAGCUCAAAUUUGAAAGCUGGCGUCUUCGACGUCCGCGUUGUAAUUUGUAGAGGAUGCUUCGGCGAAGACUCCUGCCUAAGUCCCCUGGAACGGGGCGUCAUAGAGGGUGAGAAUCCCGUAUGUGGCGGGCAGUCUAAGCCAUGUGAAGCUCCUUCGACGAGUCGAGUUGUUUGGGAAUGCAGCUCUAAAUGGGAGGUAAAUUUCUUCUAAAGCUAAAUAUUGGCCAGAGACCGAUAGCGCACAAGUAGAGUGAUCGAAAGAUGAAAAGCACUUUGGAAAGAGAGUUAAAAAGUACGUGAAAUUGUUGAAAGGGAAGCGCUUGCAACCAGACUCGCUCGUAGUUGCUCAGCCGGCCUCUUGGCCGGUGUACUCUUCUACGAUCGGGCCAGCAUCAGUUCGGGCGGCAGGAUAAAGGUGUCGGGAAUGUAGCACCCUUCGGGGUGUGUUAUAGCCCGGCGCGGAAUGCUGCCAGCCUGGACUGAGGAUCUCGCUUCGGCAAGGAUGCUGGCGUAAUGGUUGUAAGCGGCCCGUCUUGAAACACGGACCAAGGAGUCUAACAUCUAUGCGAGUGUUUGGGUGUCAAACCCAUGCGCGUAAUGAAAGUGAACGGAGGUGGGAACCCCUCACGGGGUGCACCAUCGACCGAUCCUGAUGUCUUCGGAUGGAUUUGAGUAAGAGCAUAGCUGUUGGGACCCGAAAGAUGGUGAACUAUGCCUGAAUAGGGUGAAGCCAGAGGAAACUCUGGUGGAGGCUCGCAGCGGUUCUGACGUGCAAAUCGAUCGUCAAAUUUGGGUAUAGGGGCGAAA